Molecule: ribosomal RNA, 468 nt
Filed under: uncultured bacterium
Lineage: Bacteria
Description: partial 16S ribosomal RNA
Rfam family: Bacterial small subunit ribosomal RNA
Source: RNAcentral
GACGAACGCUGGCGGCGUGCUUAACACAUGCAAGUCGAACGGAAAGACCCUGCUUUUGUGGGGUGCUUGAGUGGCGAACGGGUGAGUAACACGUGAGUAACCUGUCCUUGACUUUGUGAUAACUUCAGGAAACUGGGGCUAAUACCGGAUAGGAGCUCUUGCUGCACGGUGGGGGUUGGAAAGUUUCGGCGGUGGUGGAUGGAUUCGCUGCUUAUGAGCUUGUUGGUGGGGUAGUGGCUUACCAAGGCUUUGACGGGUAGCCGGCCUGAGAGGGUGACCGGCCACAUUGGGACUGAGAUACGGACCAGACUCCUACGGGAGGCAGCAGUGGGGAAUAUUGCACAAUGGGCGGAAGCCUGAUGCAGCAACGCCGCGUGCGGAAUGCCGGCCUUCGGGUUGUAAACCGCUUUCGACUGUGACGAAGCGUGAGUGACGGUAAUGGGUAAAGAAGCACCGGCUAACUACGUG